GAUCGCGUAGCUCAGUUGGUAGAGCACUACCUUGACAUGGUAGGGGUCGUUGGUUCAAGUCCAAUCGUGAUCACCA
This 76-nucleotide transfer RNA is filed under the name Campylobacterota bacterium. RNAcentral describes it as "Epsilonproteobacteria bacterium (sediment metagenome) tRNA-Val". It matches the Rfam family "tRNA". Rfam says of the family: Transfer RNA (tRNA) molecules are approximately 80 nucleotides in length. Their secondary structure includes four short double-helical elements and three loops (D, anti-codon, and T loops). RNAcentral also lists the same sequence under 3 other names. Lineage: Bacteria; Pseudomonadati; Campylobacterota. The record is from RNAcentral.